GCUUGCACCUGCCGGCGAGUGGCGAACGGGUGAGUAAUGCAUCGGAACGUACCCAGUCGUGGGGGAUAACGCAGCGAAAGCUGUGCUAAUACCGCAUACGUCCUGAGGGAGAAAGCAGGGGAUCUUCGGACCUUGUGCGAUUGGAGCGGCCGAUGUCAGAUUAGCUAGUUGGUGAGGUAAAAGCUCACCAAGGCGACGAUCUGUAGCUGGUCUGAGAGGAUGAUCAGCCACACUGGAACUGAGACACGGUCCAGACUCCUACGGGAGGCAGCAGUGGGGAAUUUUGGACAAUGGGGGCAACCCUGAUCCAGCCAUGCCGCGUGAGUGAAGAAGGCCUUCGGGUUGUAAAGCUCUUUCGGCCGGGAAGAAAUCGUGCAGGCUAAUACCCUGUAUGGAUGACGGUACCGGAAUAAGAAGCACCGGCUAACUACGUGCCAGCAGCCGCGGUAAUACGUAGGGUGCGAGCGUUAAUCGGAAUUACUGGGCGUAAAGCGUGCGCA
RNAcentral lists this ribosomal RNA (500 nucleotides) under uncultured Azovibrio sp. RNAcentral describes it as "bacterial SSU rRNA". It matches the Rfam family "Bacterial small subunit ribosomal RNA", at positions 78 to 573 of the family's 1533-position model. Lineage: Bacteria; Pseudomonadati; Pseudomonadota; Betaproteobacteria; Rhodocyclales; Rhodocyclaceae. The record is from RNAcentral.